Molecule: ribosomal RNA, 459 nt
Filed under: uncultured bacterium
Lineage: Bacteria
Description: partial 16S ribosomal RNA
Rfam family: Bacterial small subunit ribosomal RNA
Source: RNAcentral
CCUACGGGAGGCAGCAGUGAGGAAUAUUGGUCAAUGGCCGGGAGGCUGAACCAGCCAAGUCGCGUGAGGGAAGACAGCCCUACGGGUUGUAAACCUCUUUUGUCAGGGAGCAAGGUGCAGGUCGGGACCUGCUGUGAGAGUACCUGAAGAAAAAGCAUCGGCUAACUCCGUGCCAGCAGCCGCGGUAAUACGGAGGAUGCGAGCGUUAUCCGGAUUUAUUGGGUUUAAAGGGUGCGCAGGCGGAGGCACAAGUCAGCGGUAAAAUCGCGGGGCUCAACCCCGCUCCGCCGUUGAAACUGUGUGCCUUGAGUGCGCGAAGGGUAGGCGGAAUGCGUGGUGUAGUGGUGAAAUGCAUAGAUAGCACGCAGAACUCCGAUCGCGAAGGCAGCCUACCGGCGCGCAACUGACGCUCAUGCACGAAAGCGUGGGUAUCGAACAGGAUUAGAUACCCGAGUAGUC